Molecule: long non-coding RNA, 1397 nt
Organism: Leguminivora glycinivorella
Lineage: Eukaryota; Metazoa; Arthropoda; Insecta; Lepidoptera; Tortricidae
Exons: 4
Source: RefSeq, a predicted model, not a curated record
AAUCAUUGCCCUAGACACUCGUUGCUCUCAAAUGAUGCUGACGACAAAGUGAUUCUGUUUUAUCAAACUGAAAAUCCGAAUUAUAAUGUAAAUUGUGAUCUUCGAAAUUGAGGUUAUGAAAUUGACAUAACUCUAUUUAUAAACAAUAUGAACGACCGCGUUGGAGGAUAUGAAUGCAUUGGAACCUUGACAUGUGUUUUACUGUGUUUCUCAUCACGAUAAUAGAAAAUCUAGUGCUCAAAUUCACAAUCUAAUGAACAUACAGCCAUACAAAAGAUGUCUUAAAGAGGUAUGCCUCCACUGACAAAGUGAAUUAAGUUGCCUACUCGAAAAGCAACUUUGCAAGGAAGCAAGUUUACUACCCACUGAAAUGUUCCCUUGGUACUUGAUGGGAUUAUGGAAUGAAACUGGCAAUAUUACAAUGUGAUAAAGAUAUUCCUGAUGGCGAUGAGUGAUGACUAACUUUCAAAACUACAAGAUGAACCCCUUCCACUUCUAGAAUGUGAAGAAUGCUGCCAUAUUACCGGCCCAUAUGAUCAUCAUGACAACUGUCUACCGUUGUCUACCCCGAUACAAGGAAAAUUACAAAUAUGUUGCUAAGCUUAAUAUUAGAUGACUAGAAGCAGUUAGAAGAAUAAAGAACGGUUCCUGAGUUUUACAAUGACCGACUAACUUUUGAUGACCGAUGAAGAAGACUAUGCCAGCAAAAGACAGACAACAGAUGUACUUCGAAUAGCAAUAUGACCAAAGCACUACCUUACAUUAUUAAGACUAGAAUAUUGAAUAUAUAAUAAAAGUUUAAGUUGUAAAAUAAUAAUGCGGAUUUCAUAUAUAAUUAUGUUUAUUUUUAAUUAAAGGUAUGCAAGUGUUUGCUUUUCACUCAACCCUCAACUGCAUGAAUUAGAUGAUAUUUGUCAGAGUUUGCACUUCAAGGCAUGUCAAUAUUUUGUGAUUGACUAUCUGACAAGUAUUUAAUAAAGAAUUUGAGUCCAAUAGUCAAAGUCACUCGCACUCCGCUUCACGAUCAACAAAAUGUGAGUGUCCUCAGAAAAGCGUCCCACCUAACGACAACGUGAGACGCCCCACCAAACACACUCACAAUUAUAACUAAAAAAGCUACUGUUUAGUAUUGUAAUGUAUAUGAAAUAUACCUCAUGUAAUUAAAAGAAAACCCUAUGGUAAUACCUCACAUCCUGGUUACGGCCUAUCCAAAAUUGUACCGAACUUCUGCACCCACUCGCUUAUUUACUUACUUACUUGACUAAACAUUCUUACAACUAACCAUCCUUUAAAAAUACCCCGUAGAUUUGGCCUUGUGAUCGUCUAAUGGUAGUAGAAGGACCCCUCGAUAUGAACCAUAGCAACCCAAACUCUUUAAUGCGAAGUAGAUACGACUA